AAGGCCGGGGGGGCUGCGGCAGCGCCUCAGCACAGCGGCGCGACGCCGCUUCCCCAACGGUCGCCGGCGGGGGGCGCCGCGCGCUUUCCCCCUUACUGCGCCUGCGCGACUCCUUUCCCGCCCAUUCCCCAACGGUCGCCGAGGUGGGGGGGCGCCGCGCGCCUUCCCUCUCACUGCGCCUGCGCGACUUCUCCCCCUUGCCUCCCGAGCGACUGGACUCAGUUCCGCGCAUGCGCAUCGAGGCAUGGCCGUAGUGCGCACGCGCAUCUCUGCCUCCCAGCGUGCCCCGGGGCGGCGGUGUAUUUAAGAGCGCAGCCGGGGCACUGUCGGCCAUUUCGUCGUUGCUACUGCGCUGGGGGAGGUUUUUGGAUCUCUAGGGUAAUCCCCUUUCAGAGGUCAGCCAUGUGCAUCCAUGGUUGCUUUACAGUGUUGUGCCUGAAGCCUCUGGGAGCGACCUGGAUGUCUCCCUCUGCAGGUUGAUACCUCGGGAGCAGGAUGCGCUGCCUCAGGUAAACGCCCCCCUCUUCCCCAAAGAGCUGCUCCGGGGUGGGUGGAAG
RNAcentral lists this long non-coding RNA (557 nucleotides) under Struthio camelus australis. RNAcentral describes it as "lncRNA (ENSSCUG00000000818.1)". The record is from RNAcentral. Lineage: Eukaryota; Metazoa; Chordata; Aves; Struthioniformes; Struthionidae.